CCGGAAGCAGGGGUGGGGUGUAGUUUAGCGCAUGCGUGCAGGGGUUGUUCUCAUUCUCCCUUGCUGUACGCGACAGGGUAACAAGGUUGGAAAAAAAAGAAAAAAGGCUUCCCUGGGGGUGGGGAGCUAGGGAAUCCCUUUCCCCAGUAAAGGGAGAGAUCUGCCAGGAAAUCCCGAGUGCCCCCGUGCCGCCUGCAUGGGGCUGGCAGGGGUCAGGACAGCCCCUGUCCGCGCCCUGGUGCCGUCUGGCCCACUGGGCCCUCACAUUUGGUGGCAGGGCAGUGGUGCAAGGGUUAAUGCCCACGUUUCAGGACCCGCGGGGAGCCCCUCUGCGCCAGCUCAGGUGAUUUGGGUAUCUGGGGCUGCCAGAGGCCGCUGGAGCAGAGCAGGGGCACGUGCAGGGGCUGGCUGAGGGGCAGAGCAGAGGUCUGGUCCAGCAGCAUGGGGACUGGGUGCAUCCGGCCCCAGUCGUGGCAGUGGGUGGGUCUGAUCUGGCCCGCAGACUGGCCACACACCUCCUGGCCAGCAGAAGCACCAGGUUGAGCACUGCGGUCCUACACGCUUGGGCCUCUGCCCCGCGGGAGAAACAGGCCCAGCACAGCAGUCUUACAGACCUCUCCUGGAGAGCUGCUUAUUGAUGCAGUUGGGUGGCGAACGUGCACAGACGGAGCCGGUGUGCAGUAACACUGGGUGACGUGGCCCCAGGCAAUUCUCCUGGUUGCCUGCCCACUAACCAGUUCUCUGCAUGCACACAUAGUUAAGUGAGGCAAUGACUGAAACACGUUGGCAAAGCUGAAAGACGGCCCUGAGAGGAGGACAGCCCCCAAAUCCGAAGGAGACAUGAAAAUUAGAUACCAUGCAAAAAUGGCCUUUUUCCCCAAAAAAUAUGUAGAUGUUUUAUAGGAUGUUCAAAGCUCAACAUUUUCUGUCUUUUGACUGGGAAUAAAUGGGUUUCAGGUGCUUAUUUUUCAACUGACAUUCUGUUUGUCUAUGGAAAGCAGGUAUGAGCACAGAUAGAUGCUUUUCACGAAGAAUUGUGUUUAGGCAAAGCUGUGGUUUUCUAUUGAAAAACUGAGCCACGAUAAGAAUUUGAGCAGCCUUGAUCAGAGCUUUCUAGUACUCCAAAAUGUACAUGUACACACCAGAACAACAAAACACACAUAAUGUAUUGAACAUCUGCAAUAUUUACAGUGCCCCAAAAACUUCCAAGUGCACACAGAGCUCUAAAAUUACAGAACACAAGGGUGUUUGAGAAAAUAAUAGUGCUUUUAAAAUAAAACCAUUUUGUGUACAAUGAUCACCUACUGGACAACAUCACUUCUCUACAUAGUUGUAAACGUUGGGUGCCUUUGACAACACUAUCAGUGUGCCCUGCUGCUGUGUACUUUCCCACUCAUUGCAUAGAAAGUGGGUUUAUUUGAAAAAUGCUGUUUCUUUCUGGAGCACCCUCAUACAAACGUACUAACUAUCACAAAACAUCAUCCCCCAAAUUUUCACAACUCCUGAAAUCCUCAAAUUUAUGGUUUGUUGAAAGCACAACACACAUCCGUUGCACUAAAAGGUAAUACACAAUCUUUCAUACACAAAGAUGAAAUAAUGAUGAAAAUGCUGACAUAUACAAUGUGCCAACCUGAUGCUUGUGCUGCUUAGAAUAAUCUGAAUGAAUAAAUAAAAGACCCAUCAGAAGCCACAAAAUAAUCAAAGUAUAAAUAUUAUGUCACAAUACAUACUGCACUAAAGAAGGGAAGACCUUGGCCAGAGACAAACUGCAGAUAAACGUUCAGAGAAAUAUAGGGCACUCUACACAUGUGCAUUUACUGCUCAGUAAUGGAAAUUACUGCACAGUAUGGACACAACUCAUUUACUGCACAGUAUGGGCAUGCAUAUGUCAAGUUGUGUCUGUACUGCGCAGUACAUGUGGUAAUUUAUGCCAAUUUGAAUGUAAAUUUGAUACCUGCAAAUUUACACCCAAUUUGUUACUGCACAGUAACGCAGAUGUAGAUGUCUUACUGCACAGUAACACUGUGUGUGUGGACUGACUUGGUACUAACUAGUCCCAAGUCAGUCUACAUACAGUGUUAAUGCAUACUAUAAUGCCCACACAUGUAGAUGCCGGCCUAUUCUGGUUUACUGUGUAGUAAAUUUAAGCCAGUAUAAAUGCAUGUGUAGACAUGCCCAUAAUCAUGCAAAUCCCAAACUGUGGCACUGUCAUAGGUAUGUUUAUGCUGUCUGUAAAGCAGUGGUUCUCAACCAUUUUAGACUGCAAACUAGAAGUGACCGUGGACCAGCAUAAUGGAGACUGGAAAUGACCAGUAUACUGUGGAUUGGCAGCCAACCUUUUUUUAUACUGAGUAUAUACUCAGUAUAAAAAAGGGUUGGCUGCCAGUCUGCAGUAUGCUGAUCACUUCUGGACUUCCGAUCCAGCAGCCAACCCUCCUGCGGACCGGCAGCCACCCUUUGUGACCCAGUACCAGGCCAUGGCCCGGGGGUUGGGAACCUCUGCCGUUAAGGAAACCAAGCAAAAUAAAGAACACUGAGGUUUGAAUAAAAAUACUUUAUGUAAUAAGAAAGAAGUGCAAAUGCACUCUGACUUGUAGGAAAAUUGAAAACAGAUGUUAAGAUAAAUAAAAGGAAUUUCCACCAUAUUCUAUGACAGAUCUGGGUGGGAAAAGAGGUGAAUAGGUAAGGCUUUUUUAAAAUGUUGCCUCUAAAUCUUCUUCUGAUUAAAUAGAGAAACAGCCUUGUAUAUGCGAUGUUGUGGUAUUAGUCACAGCUGUGGGCGUGCCUAAGCUCUCUUAAUGAGUCCUCGGUUUUCCUCAGAGACUCUGGGAAAAAAUGCUGUGUAAUGAUGAGGGGGAAGUAUUUCUGUGCUGUGUAAUGAUGAACAGAAAACACGCAUAGUCCCUUCCCCCAGAACUGCUUUCCCUCCUCCUUCUCUGUUUCCUUACCAGCUUUUCAUUGUUGAUACUGGAGCUUGUGAAGUGACGUAAAAUUAUUUAUAGCUUGUAUAAAUAGAAAAGGUUCAGCUAGUUUAUGUUAGUUUAGCAGCUCCAACUAUUAUACUUCCUGAAAUUAUGAAACUUUGAGUGGUCACGUAUCAUAAGUUAAAUUUACUCUGGUUAUAUAUUUAAAAUCUUAUAUAUAUUUAAAAUAACACUAAUAGUUUUACAGUGAUCACCCUUAAAAAGUUUCACCAGUUUGAAAGAUUUGCUGGAUCCAGACAUAUUCCUUAUAUUUGCAUGAAAAUUUCCAUUAGUAGUUUCCAGAUCAGAUGCAACUCUGCAUGAAACUUUCUUUUUCUGGUACCUUUUGGUGUAUUUUAUAUAUUUUGGGGCUCAUCACCUGUAUUUCAGUGUUUGCUCUGUAGUUAAAAAUUCUGGAGUAAAUUAAACCUCAUUGUGAUAAUAAGGGGCAAAAACUGUGUUCAGUUCUUAUACAGCAUGGCGUGUUCCAGUGCAGGCAGUUAGCACCUUUCGUCAAGCUUCAGGAAAUUCCCAGGGUCAGAAGUCUCUAUCAGGAAUCUAGACGAACCCUCAACAUACAUCACGGACACCAACAAAGGGAACAUCAGCCAACCGGCAGUCAGUGCCAACACGGUAAAAAGACACUUGGAGGGACUGGAUGUAUUCAAAUCACCAGGACCAGAAAGACUCCACCCAUGGGUAAUGAAGGAAUUAGCAGGGGUCAUAGCUGAUCAACUGGCAAGGAUAUAUGAGCGUUCCACUCAUGGUGCUCGAGUCAGGUUCCGGAGGAUUGGAAGAGGGCCAAUGUCAUCCCAAUCUUUAAGAGGGGGAGGAAGGAGGACCCAGGGAACUAUAGACCAGUCAGCCUUACCUCUAUCCCUGGGAAAGUCCUAGAAAAAAUGAUCAAGGAGCACAUCUGUGGGAGCCUGCUGGCUAAUGUGAUGUGGAGGGGUAACCAACAUGGGUUUUUAGCAGGUAGGUCCUGCCUGACUAACCUAGUUUCCUUUUAUGACAAGGCCACCAAUUUUUUAGAUGCAGGAGUCGAGGUGGAUGUUAUCUAUCUGGACUUCAAGAAGACCUUUAACAAGGUAUCCCAUACCAUCCUUAUAAAUAAACUGAGGGGAUUUGCCUUGUCUAAAUUAAUGGAUGACACCAAAUAAUAGGGCAAAGUAAACAGUGGAGAGUAAGGAGCGGAUUCAGGCAGAUUUGGACAGGUUGGGAAUGUGGGCAGAAAAAUAGGAUGCAAUUUAACAAAGAUAAGUGCAAAGUGCUGCAUCUAGAGAAAAAGGAUCACCAACACACCUACAGACUGGGAAGUGACUUUGUAAGCAGCACAGCAGCAGCACUACUGUUGCUGCCUUGUACCGAAGCAACCUUGUGUACCAGCCAGCCUCUCUGCAGCACACUGAGCUGGGGAUUUAGCCCUGGGCUGCCAGGAUGACCUCCUGGGUCCCCUGCCAUUUGGGGAUGCUCCAACCCGACUUAACAUGCUGUGAUCCCAGGUGCAUGUGGAAUGUGUGUCUGGGAGCAAUGAACUCUGGUGUGCUAAGUACCAGAGUUUAUUGCAUCACAUUAAUGUGCACAUGUAGAUAUGCCUACUGAGGACUAAAAUAAAGGGAAGCCUGGAAGGUGGUAUAAAGCCUCUCUUUUCCUUCCACUUGGUGCUGAACAGCUUUCAGUCAGAAUCAGGCCUCAUCUUUCAGCAAUUCAUGUAACUUACUAGAGAAUAUAGGGAAACUGAAACUCAGAUUCAAUUUCAAGGACAUGCAGCACUGCCAUGCCUGCAGUCCUUGACAUCAUAUUAAUGGUUACAAUCCUACUAGGUUAACACACACUUAACUUCUAGGCAAGCUUUAACAGUUCUGGGUGGCUAGAGGGUUAGUUCUCUGGAUGUAAGUGAACUGAGAGGACUGUCUUUGGCUUAUGGGUAUUCUGAAGCAAGAAGUUUCCUCCAUCACAUGAAACUAAAAAUGUAUAUUUUGCCUCAGCUGUCCCAUCCAUUAUCUAUGGCCUUGCCUAUCUUUCUGUAGAAGACAUUCAAAACACAAUGGACAUUUAAAACACAAUGGACGUUUAACUCAUGAUGAUACCUGCUCCACUCCUUAAUCCUCAACACAAAAAUAAAAAUCAUGUGGCUUCUU
This is a long non-coding RNA of Alligator mississippiensis (American alligator), 5104 nucleotides long. RefSeq lists it as uncharacterized. The record is from RefSeq and is a predicted model, not a curated record. The transcript is spliced from 2 exons. Lineage: Eukaryota; Metazoa; Chordata; Crocodylia; Alligatoridae.